This is a long non-coding RNA of Salvia splendens (bonfire salvia), 946 nucleotides long. RefSeq lists it as uncharacterized. The record is from RefSeq and is a predicted model, not a curated record. Lineage: Eukaryota; Viridiplantae; Streptophyta; Magnoliopsida; Lamiales; Lamiaceae. The transcript has 3 exons.
CAAUCUCGUGUUGGAUCGGACAAAUUGAAUAAAUAGUACAAAAAUCCAGUCUGGUGGAAAAUAAAUUGUGGGCUGCACAAUUUAAAUAAAAUACAAAGGACCGUGAAUUAAACUUAACUAAUUAGUUCCGACCUGUUGACUUGGUCACCAAGCUGCAUUAAUUCAAAUAUUAAAUAAAUAUUCUGCAGAAAUAUUCCUCCUCCGUGAAUCAAAAAAAAAGAAGAAAUCGAAUUUCACUCCCCUCAACUCACAUUUGAAACCGUCAUCUCUCCCCACUCCGUAAAUCUCUCCCAAAUCACAAGCCUCUUUCAAUAUCUAACAACCCUAAUCUCCUCUUUUUCUACCACCACUCCUCCAUAAAAUUUCAUUCGCAAUCAAGUUCCACCCCCACAAGUUGCUCUACUAAAAUCAGCAAGAAGUUUAAAGAACAAGGCUGACAUUCUUCUUAUCUCAAUCGAAACAGAUUCAAGGUAAUCUCAUACACAGAAUUUCCCCCGCCUGCUAUUCUACAAUGUUUUGAAAAAUCAACUCACUCAAUCUUCCUGUCAGAAACCGAGAACUAAAGUGAGGGAGUUCCUGUUUCGUUCAGUUGCAAAUCUGCAAAUUGAAGGUGAUAUCUCGCAAGGGAAUCGUGAUCGCAAGGGAAAGAAAAUAAUUUCGGAUUAAGCACUCAAGGUUGAGCGAUGACGAGCUGCGUGGUGUUGAGCUUAAAUUGAAGUCUCGUUGGAUUUAUUUUGAACUCCGAGGGGCGUCGUGUCUUCAUACAUGGCGUCACUCUUACUCUUGAAUGCUUCCGCUGAAUUAUGACUGUUUUCUUUCUCAAUUAAGUUAUUGAACCCUCUUCCAUUCUUGGACUAUAAAUUCUGAUAAUUGUUGACUUCGGAUUCAAAUGUAAGAGUUUACUCUGAUUUUCUCUAGUUAUUGAAUAUUAAAUAUUUUGGUCAAA